AUUGAACGCUGGCGGCAUGCCUAACACAUGCAAGUCGAACGGAAACAGGAAGCGGCUUGCUGCUUUGCUUACGAGUGGCGGACGGGUGAGUCAUGUCUGUGAAACUGCCUGAUGGAUGGGGAUAACUACUGGAAACGGUGGCUAAUACCGCAUAACGUCUCAAGCCCAAGGUUGGGGACUUUAGGGCCGUUUUCCAUCCAAUUUUCCCAGGUGGGAUUAGCUAGUAGGUGGGGUAACGGCUCACCAAGGCCACAAUCCAUAGCUGAUCUGAGAGGAUGACCAGCCACACUGGAACUGAGACACGGUCCAGACUCCUACGGGAGGCAGCAGUGGGGAAUCUUGCACAAUGGGCGAAAGCCUGACGGAGCAACGCCGCGUGUAUGAAGAAGGUCUUCGGGUCGUAAAGUACUUUCAGCGGGGAGGAAGGGAGUAAAAAGAAUCUCUGUACUCAUUGACGUUACCUGAAGAAGAAGCCACGGCUAACUCCGUG
RNAcentral lists this ribosomal RNA (490 nucleotides) under uncultured bacterium. RNAcentral describes it as "partial 16S ribosomal RNA". It matches the Rfam family "Bacterial small subunit ribosomal RNA", at positions 30 to 507 of the family's 1533-position model. The record is from RNAcentral.